AGGACCCUGUCCUCCUAUUUUCAGUUGGUUUGCCGCGAGGACCAGGGUAAUGAUUAAUAGGGAUAGUUGGGGGCAUUAAUAUUUAAUUGUCAGAGGUGAAAUUCUUGGAUUUAUGAAAGAUUAACUUCUGCGAAAGCAUCUGCCAAGGAUGUUUUCAUUAAUCAAGAACGAAAGUUAGGGGAUCGAAGACGAUCAGAUACCGUCGUAGUCUUAACCAUAAACGAUGCCGACCAGCGAUUAGGAGACGUUGAAUACAAAACACCACCAUGCGCAUUGCGGUCGUCUUUGGUGUCGCUCACAAGGCGGCACCGGGGCGGCUUAGCUCGCAUGGCACCGGUGA
RNAcentral lists this ribosomal RNA (340 nucleotides) under Acanthamoeba genotype T3. RNAcentral describes it as "SSU rRNA". The stretch from base 1 to 294 matches the Rfam family "Eukaryotic small subunit ribosomal RNA", at positions 824 to 1116 of the family's 1831-position model. Lineage: Eukaryota; Discosea; Longamoebia; Acanthamoebidae. The record is from RNAcentral.